This is a non-coding RNA of Leucogyrophana mollusca, 83 nucleotides long. Lineage: Eukaryota; Fungi; Basidiomycota; Agaricomycetes; Boletales. The record is from the annotation of a GenBank genome assembly.
GCCCCCGUUGUCUAAUGGUUAUGACGUCAGACUUCUACCACUUGGCGAUCUGGAGGUUGCGGGUUCGAGUCCCGCCGGGGGUU